GACCGUUUCACCAAUCGAACCACCCAGGCAUCUCAGGAGUGGAGGAAUUCUUGCCUUUUCCAAAGAUUGCACCGCGUUAUCCCCUGGAAUCAUGCGGCUGUGAUCGGUGUUGGUGAGGAAGAUGGUGGUAGGUCUGGUGCUGGGCUGCGCUGGAGAGAGCCAAGCAGCGCACAUCUGACCCUCAGUGGGGUCAGGAGACGCGAGGGCCAUACAUGCGAAUGGGAAAAGCACUGCAUGGUCUCCAUCCUCCAAAAGCUCAUCAUCAAAAUAAGGAGAGGAAAUAAUGCAACCACAUAAAUACAAACAAAAGGCUAAACUACGCAGAAAUUAAAAACAGCAAUAGGAAUUUACAGAACUUCCCUGAAAGCUUUGGCUUUCAGCCACAGGCCACCUGAAGAUACAGAGAGUACUAUCUGGACAAUGGCCAGUGAUAUAUCUUCCCAGAGACCUUGGUAAGCUGACCCCAUGCCAGUUCCUAGACUCCUGGGCUCAGCAGUCAGACUCUGUCCUUAACAAAAGCAAACUCACUUCUUCCUGUAGAGGCAAUCUCACUUUAUCAGUGCCCCAGGAUGGAUCAAAAUCAGAAUGCCAGAUUAUCACUUGACAAUGGGAAAUAUAUCUGCUCCGCAGAUAGGGCAUCUGUGUCUACACGGUUGGGAACUAGCUCCCGGGGACACUGGCCUCCAUGGCGCACUGAAACACAAUUAGAAGGCUACUUGGUGAGAAGAGAAUUAGAAGGAAAGUAACCAGCUGAAUCCAGUGUUUGACAGAAAGGACUGAAGUAGCCAGAUCCAUCCAUCUCCCCAACAGGCACAGCCUCACUAGUGGGCUUAACGCUCAUAUGCUGCUUGAGGGGCCAUCUCCACUCUUGGGGAAGCCUAGGAUGGGCACGGCCCAUGGUGGGCUCUUCCUCGCCAUUUCUAUGGUUUUCUACUGACCAACCUUCCUGCAGACAGACAUGUUUCUCUUUAGCAGUUCAUAUAUCCAGUCCAUUUUUACUUAAGUCCGAUAAACCAGGAAGCCACUUGAUGCUUACAUAGCUCUGCUCUGCUCCAUGUGUUGAUGUUUGGUGUUUCUCUCUCGGGGAGCUGCCUUUUAAAAAGUUAUUUACCUUAUUAUUGUUUUCAAGGGAGGGGAAUGCAUCAAUAUGGACCCUAAGAAAUGGUGACAAAUCUCACAGAAGGACUAGGACCAGGAGGGCUGGAGAAUUCAGGGAAGGCUUUUUGGAGAAUGAUGAACUUGCGUUGGCUUUUGAGACUCAUGGAUGGCUGAUGGUUCCAGGAGGGCGGAGAGACUUUCUCUGUCAUCAUUUCAGCCAAGGAAAGAAAUCAGUGGCAGUCUGAGACUCAUGGACAGAGAUCACAAGUAAGCAGAGAGGCAGGCAGAG
This is a long non-coding RNA of Lontra canadensis (Northern American river otter), 1387 nucleotides long. RefSeq lists it as uncharacterized. The record is from RefSeq and is a predicted model, not a curated record. The transcript is spliced from 4 exons. NCBI's taxonomy places the organism in Eukaryota, Metazoa, Chordata, Mammalia, Carnivora, Mustelidae.